Molecule: ribosomal RNA, 710 nt
Filed under: Alcaligenes sp.
Lineage: Bacteria; Pseudomonadati; Pseudomonadota; Betaproteobacteria; Burkholderiales; Alcaligenaceae
Description: bacterial SSU rRNA
Rfam family: Bacterial small subunit ribosomal RNA
Source: RNAcentral
CAUGCAAGUCGAACGGCAGCGCGAGAGAGCUUGCUCUCUUGGCGGCGAGUGGCGGACGGGUGAGUAAUAUAUCGGAACGUGCCCAGUAGCGGGGGAUAACUACUCGAAAGAGUGGCUAAUACCGCAUACGCCCUACGGGGGAAAGGGGGGGAUCGCAAGACCUCUCACUAUUGGAGCGGCCGAUAUCGGAUUAGCUAGUUGGUGGGGUAAAGGCUCACCAAGGCAACGAUCCGUAGCUGGUUUGAGAGGACGACCAGCCACACUGGGACUGAGACACGGCCCAGACUCCUACGGGAGGCAGCAGUGGGGAAUUUUGGACAAUGGGGGAAACCCUGAUCCAGCCAUCCCGCGUGUAUGAUGAAGGCCUUCGGGUUGUAAAGUACUUUUGGCAGAGAAGAAAAGGUACCUCCUAAUACGAGGUACUGCUGACGGUAUCUGCAGAAUAAGCACCGGCUAACUACGUGCCAGCAGCCGCGGUAAUACGUAGGGUGCAAGCGUUAAUCGGAAUUACUGGGCGUAAAGCGUGUGUAGGCGGUUCGGAAAGAAAGAUGUGAAAUCCCAGGGCUCAACCUUGGAACUGCAUUUUUAACUGCCGAGCUAGAGUAUGUCAGAGGGGGGUAGAAUUCCACGUGUAGCAGUGAAAUGCGUAGAUAUGUGGAGGAAUACCGAUGGCGAAGGCAGCCCCCUGGGAUAAUACUGACGCUCAGACA